ACGGGGCCCGGCACAAGCGGUGGAGUAUGUGGUUUAAUUCGAUGCAACGCGAAGAACCUUACCUGGUCUUGACAUCCCGGAGACCCUUAGGAAACUAGGGGUGCUUCCAUCUGGAAGAAUCUGGAGACAGGUGCUGCAUGGCUGUCGUCAGCUCGUGUCGUGAGAUGUUGGGUUAAGUCCCGCAACGAGCGCAACCCUUGCCUUUAGUUGCCAGCAGUUCGGCUGGGCACUCUAAAGGGACUGCCGGUGUUAAACCGGAGGAAGGUGGGGAUGACGUCAAGUCCUCAUGGCCUUUAUGACCAGGGCUACACACGUACUACAAUGGCCGAUACAAAGGGCAGCGACACUGCGAGGUGAAGCCAAUCCCGUAAAAUCGGUCUCAGUCCGGAUUGGAGUCUGCAACUCGACUCCAUGAAGUUGGAAUCGCUAGUAAUCGUGGAUCAGCAUGCCACGGUGAAUACGUUCCCGGGCCUU
This 474-nucleotide ribosomal RNA is filed under the name uncultured Desulfobulbus sp. Its description in RNAcentral is "bacterial SSU rRNA". It matches the Rfam family "Bacterial small subunit ribosomal RNA", at positions 916 to 1381 of the family's 1533-position model. The record is from RNAcentral. Lineage: Bacteria; Pseudomonadati; Thermodesulfobacteriota; Desulfobulbia; Desulfobulbales; Desulfobulbaceae.